CCUACGGGUGGCAGCAGUGGGGGAUAUUGCACAAUGGGGGGAACCCUGAUGCAGCGACGCCGCGUGGGUGAAGAAGCGCCUCGGCGCGUAAAGCCCUGUCAGCAGGGAAGAAAAUGACGGUACCUGAAGAAGAAGCCCCGGCUAACUACGUGCCAGCAGCCGCGGUAAUACGUAGGGGGCAAGCGUUAUCCGGAUUUAUUGGGUUUAAAGGGUGCGCAGGCGGAAGAUCAAGUCAGCGGUAAAAUUGAGAGGCUCAACCUCUUCGAGCCGUUGAAACUGGUUUUCUUGAGUGAGUGAGAAGUAUGCGGAAUGCGUGGUGUAGCGGUGAAAUGCAUAGAUAUCACGCAGAACUCCGAUUGCGAAGGCAGCAUACCGGCGCUCAACUGACGCUCAUGCACGAAAGUGUGGGUAUCGAACAGGAUUAGAUACCCGGGUAGUC
RNAcentral lists this ribosomal RNA (439 nucleotides) under uncultured bacterium. RNAcentral's name for it is "partial 16S ribosomal RNA". It matches the Rfam family "Bacterial small subunit ribosomal RNA", at positions 338 to 795 of the family's 1533-position model. The record is from RNAcentral.